Mya arenaria is the source of this 434-nucleotide long non-coding RNA. RefSeq lists it as uncharacterized. The transcript is spliced from 3 exons. The record is from RefSeq and is a predicted model, not a curated record. NCBI's taxonomy places the organism in Eukaryota, Metazoa, Mollusca, Bivalvia, Myida, Myidae.
CAUUUAUGGGUCAUUAGUACAAACAUCCUUUAAGGAUUGUUCUUAUUUAUUAGACCAUGACCAGAUGGAAGUUGAUGUUGAUUAUGAUGCUGAUGAUGCUGACACUGGGAUUGAAGAUGACGUUCCCCACACCAUCACAGAAAAUGAUGAAAUGGACAUGGACUUAGAUUUUGAAGAUGGCUGUCAGCAGCUACACAAACAAGAGAAGCCUUCCUUGAGUGUUCAGAAGUAAAGAGAAAAAUCAAGCAGAACCAGGACGAUCCAAAGCUAAAGCAGGACAAUCCCUGAGGCUUGUUUCAAUGUCUUAUCAUAUACAUUGAAAUAUUUCAAUAAAGGCAAUCUAGCAACUUUAAACAGAGUUUAAAAGUUACUUAUAAAAACACUAAGUAUAUUACGUAUUGCAAGAUUUGAAACAAUGAGUAAAAAAUACCAGU